AACGCAUCUUGCACUCCUUGGUAUUCCGAGGAGUAUGCCUGUUUGAGUGUCAUGAAUUCUUCAACCCUCUCUUUUCUUAGUGAUUAGAGAGGAGCUUGGAUUCUGAGUGUUGCUCCUUACACGAGCUCAUUCGUAAUGCAUUAGCAUCCAUAUUCGAACUUUCGGAUUGACUUGGCGUAAUAGACUAUUCGCUGAGGAAUCUAACUUCGGUUAGAGCCGGGUUUGAACUAGGAAGCUACUAAUCUAGCUUAGUCUACUUUUAGAUUAGAUCUCAAAUCAGGUAGGAUUACCCGCUGAACUUAA
This 303-nucleotide unclassified non-coding RNA is filed under the name uncultured Sporidiobolales. Its description in RNAcentral is "sequence contains 5.8S rRNA gene, ITS2, 28S rRNA gene". The stretch from base 1 to 52 matches the Rfam family "5.8S ribosomal RNA", at positions 103 to 154 of the family's 154-position model. Lineage: Eukaryota; Fungi; Basidiomycota; Microbotryomycetes; Sporidiobolales. The record is from RNAcentral.